UUAAUAGGUUCGAGGUGGAAGCAUGGUGACAUGUGGAGCUGACGAAUACUAAUCGAUCGAAGACUUAAUCAAAUU
RNAcentral lists this ribosomal RNA (75 nucleotides) under Staphylococcus aureus S123. RNAcentral describes it as "partial 23S ribosomal RNA". The record is from RNAcentral. Lineage: Bacteria; Bacillati; Bacillota; Bacilli; Caryophanales; Staphylococcaceae. RNAcentral also lists the same sequence under 2 other names.